RNA transcript from Callithrix jacchus (white-tufted-ear marmoset), 3451 nucleotides. It is a transcript of the gene named alpha-internexin pseudogene, with no coding region annotated. The record is from RefSeq and is a predicted model, not a curated record. Lineage: Eukaryota; Metazoa; Chordata; Mammalia; Primates; Cebidae.
GCCUGGGACUCAUCUUGAACUCUUGGUCUCAAAGAAAUCCUCCCACUUACAACUCCGAAAGUACUGGGAUUACAGGCAUGAGCCACCAUACCCAGCCAUGUUCAUUAUCUUGAUUGUGUCAGCGGCCUCUUUGGUGUAAAAUCUUCGAAGUUUCUAUUGAUCUAUCUUCAAGUUCCAAGACUUUCUUCAGCCACAUCCAGUCUCCUGACGAGCCCAUUAAAGGCAGUCUUCAUUUCUGUUACAGUGUUUUUGAGCUCUGGCUUUUUUUUAUUUUUUAUUUAUUUUGAGACAGAGUCUUCUUGCUCUGUCGCCAGGCGCCAGGCUGGAGUGCAGUGGCGCGAUCUCGGCUCACUGCAACCUCCACCUCCCGGGUUCAAGCAGUUCUCCUGCCUAAGCCUAAGUAGGAUUACAGGCAAGCACCACCAUGCCCAGCUAGUUUUUUGUAUUUUUAGUAGAGACAAGGUUUCACCAUGUUGGCCAGGAUGAUCUCGAUCUCUUGACCUCGUGAUCCACCUGCCUCGGCUUCCCAAAGUGCUGGGAUUACAGGCGUGAGCCACCGCGCCCGGCCACUCUAGCAUUUUUUAAGUUCUUUCUUAGAAUUUCCAUCUCUGGCCCUGCCUGCCGCACCUCUCCUUUCUUCUGUAUCUCCAGCUGAAGCCGCACGCCCGGCCGGGAUCCCGGCACCAUGAGCUUCGGCUCGGAGCACUACCUGUUCUCCUCCUCCUCCUACCGCAAGGUGUUCAGGGACGGCUCCCGCCUGUCCGCGCGCCCCUCCGGGACCAGCGGCGCGGGCGGCUUCCGAUCGCAGUCCCUGUCCCACAGCAAUGUGGUCUCCUCGACCGCCUGCUCCUCGGCCUCGUCGCUCGGCCUCGGCCUGGGCUAUCUCCGGCCACUGGCAUCCGACGGGCUGGACCUGAGCCAGGCGGUGGCGCGCACCAACGAGUACAAGAUCAUCCGCACUAACAAGAAGGAGCAGCUGCAGGGACUCAACGACCACUUCGCGGUGUUCAUCGAGAAGGUGCAUCAGCGGGAGACGCAGAACCGCGCACUGGAGGCCGGGCUGGCUGCGCUGCGGCAGCGCCACACCGAGCCGAGCCGUCGCGCGCGGUGAGCUCUUCCAGCUCUUCCUGGAGGAGGCGAGCUCGGCGCGCGUGCAGGCCCUGCUGGAGCGCGACGGGCAGGCCGAGGAGGUGCAGCAGCUGCCGGCGCGCUGCGAGGAGGAGAGCCGCGGUCGCGAAGGUGCUGAGCGCGCCCUGAAGGCGCAACAGCGCGACGUGGACGGCGCCACGCUGGUCCGCCUGCAUCUGGAGAAGAAGGUGGAGUCGCUGCUGGACGAGCUGGCCUUCGUGCGCCAGGUGCACGACGAGGAGGUAGCCGAGCUGCUGGCCCCGCUGCAGGCGUCGUCACAGGCCGCGGCCGAGGUGGACGUGGCUGUGGAUAAACCAGACCUGAGCUGGCGCUGAGGGAGAUCCGCGCCCAAUAUGAGUCCCUGGCUGCUAAGAACCUGCAGUCCGCGGAGGAAUGGCAUAAGUCCAAGUUUGCCAACCUGAACGAGCAGGCGGCUCGCGGCUCCCAGGCCAUUCGAGCCAGCCGCGAGGAGAUCCGAGAAUACCGGCGCCAGCUGCAGGGGCGCACCAUCGAGAUCGAGGGCCUGCGCGGGGCCAGCGAGUCCUUGGAGAGGCAGAUCCUGGAACUGGAGGAGCGUCACAAUGCCAAGGUGGCUGGCUACCAGGAUAGCAUUGGGCAGCUAGAGAAUGAUCUGAGGAACACCAAGAGUGAGAUGGCACGCCACCUUCGGGAAUACCAGGACUUGCUCAAUGUCAAAACGGCUCUUGACAUUGAGAUAGCAGCUUACAGGAAACUGCUGGAAGGCGAAGAGACACAUUUUAGCACCAGUGGGUUGAGCAUUUCGGGGCUGAAUCCACUUCCCAAUCCAAGUUAUCUGCUCCCAUCUAGAAUCCUCAGUUCAACCUCCAAAGUCUUAUCCACUAGGCUAUCACUUAAGAAAGAGGAAGAGGAGGAGGCAUCUAAGGUAGCCUCUAAGAAAACCUCCCAGACGGGAAAGUUUUGAAGAAAUAUUAGAGGAGACGGUAAUAUCUACUAAGAAAACCGAGAAAUCAGAUAUUGAAGAAACCACCAUUUCGAGCCAAAAAAUAUAAUUCCAUUGCUUUGAAAGAGCUAAUGCUUAAGAGGGAAUGAUAUGCAUUUGACUUGUUAAACAGCCUGUUCCUGAACCAUAACACCUGCCACGCCACUAUGAAAUGUCUUCAAGGCUUCAGUCUCAUAUUUAGUAUUGAAUACUUACAUUCUCUAAUAAGAAAACCACCCCUUAGGUUGAAGUAAACUGCGGUUCUGGAGCCAUCACAGAAGAGUUAUCUAAGAAUACAGCUUCCUGACCUUCAGCUCGCGCUUCACGGUGAUUGAUGAUUCAGGUGCAGAGGAAGUACAAACUAAGGCGCUAAAUCUGUGACCAUCGUCAUUUGCUGCGAACUGAAACUGUUCACACUACCCAGCCAUUAUCCAGCUAAAUAAUCUUACUCUAUACCUAAAACGUAAGAUCACUGCCAAAGACAAGCUAAUGGUCCACACCCAGCUCCUCUCUGAUAGAACUGUUUCACAAACAAUAGGUGUUUGUUUAACGGACACUUUCCGCCUCCCUCAGUUCCAUAUAUCCUUUUCUUCCAUGCAGGAAAAAAAAAAAGUCUAGUGUAGUAUUCUUCCCUUUUAAACACGUUUUGGUUCUUCUCAAAAGAACUUGCCCCUGUUAGCUCUCUUUGCUCAGUGGGUAAAAUUAGAUGCAUGUUGACCAUGUCUAUGAUUCGGGUAAUGACUCCUCCCUGCCCAUUUCAUAUUCUUUCAAUCCUGUAGGUUAAAAAAAAAUGGCAGUCAUGAAUUUUAAGGUUUCCCCCAACAAAUAAAAUAAUGAAAAGAAUCCCUAGACUUUAGGCUUUCAGCUUAUACAAAUCCAUUUAAUUAGGAGAAAAAAACUAUUAAGGAUGUAGCUUUUCACCUUUACUUUAGAAGCUCAGUAAAUCGUUAUUCCAAGCUGUGAUUAAGCUGAACUUAGAUUUAGUAGUAUAAGCUAGAAGAAGUGAGUGUUUCUAUGUGUGGAAAAAGCCAAGGUGUCAUUUAUGUGUCAGUUCAUUUGUGGUGAUAUAGAAUUAGCUUUUUCAUGCCCUUACCCUUAGAAUCCACUCAUUGCCUUUCCCACUAGUCUAGGUCCUAAAGAGACCUUGCUUUCACUCUCAUAUGCCCUUUACAAGUACUAAGUAUAGGAUAUUUUGUCACCAGAACACAAUGCUAUUGCCCCAAGGUAAAAGAAACCACUUCUGGUCGAUCAAUACCACCAGCAAAUAUAAAAAAGAAAUCUUUCUCCUUUCUAAAAGACUUCCCCAACAUCUACCCCACGGCUGCACAGUUGGUGGGGUCCUGCUGGAGACGAAGAGACACU